Molecule: ribosomal RNA, 292 nt
Filed under: uncultured bacterium
Lineage: Bacteria
Also listed under: 1 other name
Description: partial 16S ribosomal RNA
Source: RNAcentral
GGACUACUGGGGUUUCUAAUCCUGUUUGCUCCCCACGCUUUCGUGCCUCAGCGUCAGUGUUGAUCCAGAUGGCCGCCUUCGCCACUGAUGUUCCUCCCGAUCUCUACGCAUUUCACCGCUACACCGGGAAUUCCACCAUCCUCUAUCACACUCUAGCGAGCCAGUAUCCAUCGCCAUUCCCAGGUUGAGCCCGGGGAUUUCACGACAGACUUAACUCACCGCCUACGCACGCUUUACGCCCAGUAAUUCCGAUUAACGCUUGCACCCUUCGUAUUACCGCGGCGGCUGGCAC